CUUGAACAUCCUUGUCUUCCUCCUCUUCGAUCUCGCUUUGCUACUCUCUGCCCUCCACUCUCAGUCCCAUGCUUGGAGAUCUAAAGCUCUCCAUCAAUGGCCUCUCCCCGGAUCCUCCCUUCUUCUCUUAUUCAGAAGCUCGUCGCCUUCAAAGCCCCUGCCCCGAUUCUUCCGAUCUCAUCCUCCUCCCCUCUCGACUCAUUCACCUCCGAUCCCAUCUUCUCUGCCUUCCUCUCACCGGACUUGGACUACGCCCGAUUCUCCUCCAAGGCCCACAGCUCCAGAUCCACGACUGCUUGCGCCAAGUCCCUCCAUAAAGCCCAUCAUCGACUAUAUUAUCAACGUCCGCGCUGACGACGAUUUUGACUUUGGCGUCGAUGGUGAUGGUGCUUUUGAGGCUGUCGGUGACCUCCUUGUUGAUUCCGGCUGCGUUGAAGACUACGAAGAAGGCCGAUUGGGCCAAUAUCAAAUGCAUUUGAAGGAGAUGGAAGCUGUUAAAACAGGAAUGCCAGUUGUGUCUGAAAGAUGCUAUUUCAAAACGGCUUGAAGAGGUGUAUAAAAGGCUCGAAUUCAUUGAUGCAUAUUCAGCAGAGGCACGUCCUGCUUCAAUUCUUGUGCUUAGUUUCUCAAGCCCUUAAAAAUGUUAAAUUCACCAUGUUAAUUUAACUUUGAUUGUACUGUUGGCCAUUACAUGCUAUGUGUUUUAAAUUUUUAUUGGUGCUCCAAUUGAAAUAUUUUCUUGUUUUUUGGAAGGUGUAAAUCAAAUGUAUAGAAGGAAACAUGGUAUACUUCCUUUUUUAAAAUUUAAUAGGUUUGCUCCACAUCUCACAUCCACAAGAUUUGAAGAUUAACCAUUUUCGGAAGAGCACUACGUCUAGAUGUAACUAUAUAACCUUGUGUCUAUGAAUGGCGUUCAAGUGCUAUUAAAAUGAAGCAUAUAUGAUUUGCAGAACCUUUCUAGGCAUUGCACAACCUUUCUUGGCAUGUGCAAGACUACUAUAUUUCAAGCCCAUAAAUUUUUUUUUAUGAAAGAAGGUUUGGAGACGGAGAAUUAACUUCUAACUGUUGAUUUUAUGCUCUUACGCAUUCCCUUAGGCUGCAGCAAUACUUUCUAAGAUUCUUUGGAGAUAGAUACAAGGAUAACUGUUCAACACAGCCAGUUCUAGUGUUAUUAAAGUGUUAAUUGACUGACUCUUCAUUCACUUUACAAUCAUCCUUUGUGUUAAUCAGCUAAAGGAACUGAUGUGAUUGUUGAAAAACAACCAAUCGGCAGAACCUUGAUGGUUUGUUCUUGUUUCUUUGGCCUCACUUUGAUUUCAGCCAUCUGAUUUUUUAUCAUCUGUUUCAUGAUUCUGUUUUGUGAUUUUCUAGUUCUUUGAUUUCACUUUUAUUGAAUUCCUAGUCUCAUAAACCGCACCUUGUUUAGACCUUUGGUUUUUGGUGGAGUUGAAUUAUGUUUAAAUGGGUGUGGAAUUCAAUUCAGUAUAUAGGUGAGUUAGCAAGUUUCACUACUUCAAAAAUGAGUCAUUCUUGAAUUUGGUAGAUGUGAUUUAAUUUUCAUGACAAUGCGUUAUGUGGACUGUCAUCUGUAAGAGUUUCUAUGGUAUAUGUAAUCCCUUGGUCUCUCUCCUAUAUCAUUGUCUUUUGACCUUGGGUGAUUAAUUCUUGGUUUUCAUAUUCCAAUUGGGAUGGUUAUUUUCAUUUGUUAUGAAUUUAAAGUGAUUAUUGUAUCAAUAAAAGGAAAAUUUUAGAAACUACUAAAAAAGUUAUUGUUUAUUAAAGUAAUUAUUAUUAUUGUUAUUUUUAAGUUAUCCAAUGAGUGUUGUAGAUUCAACAUGUAGAAGGAUUAUCUGAGGACUCAUUGUAACACUAGAAUGCUCACAAAGUAGGAACCAUUGUAUCAUUGGAAACAUUAAAUUCAUCUCUAGCUUAAAAUUCUAGGAAGCUCUUAGUUUGUAUCUGAAUAUAAUAAUACCUUAAAAGUUAAAAUAUUUUUAGGAUAUCUAAUAUAGGAAUUAAGCAAACAAAGGAUCUAGAUUUGCACUUGGACUCUUGAAUGGUUAAUCUGAAGUUGUGUUUUAUUUGACAAUUUUUUUUUUUGAAAUCAUCAGCAUGGUUAAAAACUUCUGUUGAAAUGAUUAAGUGAUGAAGAAAUGUGCUAAUUCAUCUACUUUCUUUUGGCUUUUCUAUUUUUCUCUAUCAAUUUUGUUUUAUUGUUAAUACAAAGUUCAAAAAAUUAAACUUUGUUUAUGGUAUUUUGCUGAGGAUUAUGGGUUAAAACCUAAACUUCUGAAAUUAAUGGAAGUCUGAAUUUCACCAAUGUAUAUGUUACACGUAUUAUAAAAAUAUAGUUGUUAUGAUGUCAAUUCUUGUAUCUUACUAUCCCCAUGUUGGUUCUUUGAGGAAUAUAUUAUGAGUAGCUUAGAUGAUGAAAGCGUGUGUGGCUUUUCAUAUUCUAUGAUGUAAGAUGGUUUAGUUGUGUAUAUUUUACUUGUCAUAGAUAUUUAUGUAUGUUUUAGUUUGGUGCUUGUACAAGUAAACAGUGUCAGGCUGCCUCAUCAUGUUUAUGAAAAAAAGCAUUUCUGUGGCACUGUUUUGGUUGAAUUUUCUGUAGAAGAAGAUGCCAAGAUGGUUUUAGAGGGCAACCUAGUUUAUGCUGGAAUAGAGCUAGAGAUAAAACCCAAGAAUUUGAUACUGAAAGGGAAAAGCAGCAAGAGGAAUAUGAACAAUCAAGGUCUCUUAAGAAGGAUGGUUCAGAUGGAAGUUUGUGGACUUCAAAAUGGGGGAAGAAUCAGUAAUAGUUGAAAGCGGUUUGACUGUGAAGAAUCGCACCAUUACCUUAGAAGCACUUUCUAGUGAGGUUGAAAAGGAAUACUGGGACUUGCACCAAGGAAAUCAGGAAAGGUUUAGAGGAAACAAAGGCAACAGGGGAAGAGGUAGAGGCAAUAAGGGAGGUCGACCAUUCGAUGGCAAGCGCAAUAGGCAUACGGACUCACCUGCUUCAAGGCCAAGACUUGGAUGCAGUUGAGGCACUUAUCUGAGGCUUAUUCAUUUUUCAAGGAGGGGUUCUGAUGGUGAGCCAUGAUGAACACUUGAUAUCAGGCAGUGUUGGUGAGCUGUGGGUGGCAUCUGAAGGAAAGGUUAACCCAUAUUCAGGAACAUUUCAGGAUUAUAAGAAGAUGUUGAAGUCAUAUUCUUGAGCAAUCUCCAUCGUCUCCCCUUCACUCUUGAGCAAUCUCCCAUACAAAGACAUUCUGAAACUCAUUGCAAUCAUAUAUACUCGAGUUAUUACUAAAAUCUCUCUAUUCGCCAUGCUUAUGUUUCAAGAUGGACAACAAGAUUAUACAAACUUGUCAUUCUACUUCAAUGUAAAAUGAACUGGAUUUUGUUCUAUUAGAUGUUUUGACUAUUAUAUUUUGUAUUGGAUUGUUAUUUUGAAUAAUUAUA
Dioscorea cayenensis subsp. rotundata (Guinea yam) is the source of this 3447-nucleotide RNA transcript. RefSeq lists it as uncharacterized. The record is from RefSeq and is a predicted model, not a curated record. Lineage: Eukaryota; Viridiplantae; Streptophyta; Magnoliopsida; Dioscoreales; Dioscoreaceae. The transcript is spliced from 8 exons.